RNAcentral lists this ribosomal RNA (483 nucleotides) under uncultured bacterium. RNAcentral's name for it is "bacterial SSU rRNA". It matches the Rfam family "Bacterial small subunit ribosomal RNA", at positions 30 to 502 of the family's 1533-position model. The record is from RNAcentral.
AUUGAACGCUGGCGGCAUGCCUAACACAUGCAAGUCGAACGGCAGCACGGGAGCUUGCUCCUGGUGGCGAGUGGCGGACGGGUGAGUAAUGCAUAGGAAUCUGCCCAGUAGCGGGGGACAACUUGGGGAAACUCAAGCUAAUACCGCAUACGCCCUACGGGGAAAGCGGGGACCGUUCGGGCCUCGCACUAUUGGAUGAGCCUAUGUCAGAUUAGCUUGUUGGUGGGGUAAAGGCCGUACCAAGGCGACGAUCUGUAGCUGGUCUGAGAGGACGAUCAGCCACACUGGGACUGAGACACGGCCCAGACUCCUACGGGAGGCAGCAGUGGGGAAUAUUGCACAAUGGGCGAAAGCCUGAUGCAGCAAUGCCGCGUGUGUGAAGAAGGCCUGCGGGUUGUAAAAGCACUUUCAGUAGGGAGGAAACAGUAGCCGGUUAAUAUCCGGUUGCCUUGACGUUACCUACAGAAGAAGCACCGACUAACU